GACGAACGCUGGCGGCGUGCUUAACACAUGCAAGUCGAACGGAAAGGCCCUGCUUUUGUGGGGUGCUCGAGUGGCGAACGGGUGAGUAACACGUGAGUAACCUGCCCUUGACUUUGGGAUAACUUCAGGAAACUGGGGCUAAUACCGGAUAGGAGCUCCUGCUGCAUGGUGGGGGUUGGAAAGUUUCGGCGGUUGGGGAUGGACUCGCGGCUUAUCAGCUUGUUGGUGGGGUAGUGGCUUACCAAGGCUUUGACGGGUAGCUGGCCUGAGAGGGUGACCGGCCACAUUGGGACUGAGAUACGGCCCAGACUCCUACGGGAGGCAGCAGUGGGGAAUAUUGCACAAUGGGCGGAAGCCUGAUGCAGCAACGCCGCGUGCGGGAUGACGGCCUUCGGGUUGUAAACCGCUUUCGCCUGUGACGAAGCGUGAGUGGCGGUAAUGGGUAAAGAAGCACCGGCUAACUACGUG
This 468-nucleotide ribosomal RNA is filed under the name uncultured bacterium. Its description in RNAcentral is "partial 16S ribosomal RNA". It matches the Rfam family "Bacterial small subunit ribosomal RNA", at positions 28 to 507 of the family's 1533-position model. The record is from RNAcentral.